GACGUAGGAGGCGAGCGUUGUCCGGAUUCAUUGGGCGUAAAGAGCACGCAGGCGGUUUGGUAAGUCGGAUGUGAAAGCCCGGAGCUCAACUUGGGAAUGGCAUUGGAAACUGGCGGGCUGGAGUGUGGCAGAGGGGGGUGGAAUUCCACGUGUAGCAGUGAAAUGCGUAGAGAUGUGGAGGAACACCGAUGGCGAAGGCAGCCCCCUGGGCCAACACUGACGCUCAGGAACGAAAGCGUGGGGAGCAAACAGG
This 253-nucleotide ribosomal RNA is filed under the name uncultured bacterium. Its description in RNAcentral is "partial 16S ribosomal RNA". It matches the Rfam family "Bacterial small subunit ribosomal RNA", at positions 524 to 776 of the family's 1533-position model. The record is from RNAcentral.